CAGGCUUAACACAUGCAAGUCGAGUGGCAGCAUGGUCUUAGCUUGCUAAGGCCGAUGGCGACCGGCGCACGGGUGAGUAACACGUAUCCAACCUGCCGUCUACUCUUGGACAGCCUUCUGAAAGGAAGAUUAAUACAAGAUGGCAUCAUGAGUCCACAUGUUCACAUGAUUAAAGGUAUUCCGGUAGACGAUGGGGAUGCGUUCCAUUAGAUAGUAGGCGGGGUAACGGCCCACCUAGUCUUCGAUGGAUAGGGGUUCUGAGAGGAAGGUCCCCCACAUUGGAACUGAGACACGGUCCAAACUCCUACGGGAGGCAGCAGUGAGGAAUAUUGGUCAAUGGGCGCAGGCCUGAACCAGCCAAGUAGCGUGAAGGAUGACUGCCCUAUGGGUUGUAAACUUCUUUUAUAAAGGAAUAAAGUCGGGUAUGCAUACCCGUUUGCAUGUACUUUAUGAAUAAGGAUCGGCUAACUCCGUGCCAGCAGCCGCGGUAAUACGGAGGAUCCGAGCGUUAUCCGGAUUUAUUGGGUUUAAAGGGAGCGUAGAUGGAUGUUUAAGUCAGUUGUGAAAGUUUGCGGCUCAACCGUAAAAUUGCAGUUGAUACUGGAUAUCUUGAGUGCAGUUGAGGCAGGCGGAAUUCGUGGUGUAGCGGUGAAAUGCUUAGAUAUCACGAAGAACUCCGAUUGCGAAGGCAGCCUGCUAAGCUGCAACUGACAUUGAGGCUCGAAAGUGUGGGUAUCAAACAGGAUUAGAUACCCUGGUAGUCCACACGGUAAACGAUGAAUACUCGCUGUUUGCGAUAUACAGCAAGCGGCCAAGCGAAAGCGUUAAGUAUUCCACCUGGGGAGUACGCCGGCAACGGUGAAACUCAAAGGAAUUGACGGGGGCCCGCACAAGCGGAGGAACAUGUGGUUUAAUUCGAUGAUACGCGAGGAACCUUACCCGGGCUUAAAUUGCAGAUGAAUUACGGUGAAAGCCGUAAGCCGCAAGGCAUCUGUGAAGGUGCUGCAUGGUUGUCGUCAGCUCGUGCCGUGAGGUGUCGGCUUAAGUGCCAUAACGAGCGCAACCCUUGUUGUCAGUUACUAACAGGUUCCGCUGAGGACUCUGACAAGACUGCCAUCGUAAGAUGUGAGGAAGGUGGGGAUGACGUCAAAUCAGCACGGCCCUUACGUCCGGGGCUACACACGUGUUACAAUGGGGGGUACAGAGGGCCGCUACCACGCGAGUGGAUGCCAAUCCCAAAAACCUCUCUCAGUUCGGACUGGAGUCUGCAACCCGACUCCACGAAGCUGGAUUCGCUAGUAAUCGCGCAUCAGCCACGGCGCGGUGAAUACGUUCCCGGGCCUUGUACACACCGCCCGUCAAGCCAUGGGAGCCGGGGGGUACCUGAAGUGCGUAACCGCGAGGAGCGCCCUAGGGUAAAACUGAUGA
This 1428-nucleotide ribosomal RNA is filed under the name uncultured organism. RNAcentral's name for it is "16S ribosomal RNA". It matches the Rfam family "Bacterial small subunit ribosomal RNA". The record is from RNAcentral.